Molecule: ribosomal RNA, 422 nt
Filed under: uncultured Paludibacter sp.
Lineage: Bacteria; Pseudomonadati; Bacteroidota; Bacteroidia; Bacteroidales; Paludibacteraceae
Description: partial 16S ribosomal RNA
Rfam family: Bacterial small subunit ribosomal RNA
Source: RNAcentral
UGAGGAAUAUUGGUCAAUGGCCGAGAGGCUGAACCAGCCAAAUCGCGUGAAGGAAUAAGGUUCUAUGGAUCGUAAACUUCUUUUGUAAGGGAAUAAAGCGCAGGACGUGUCCUGCUUUGUAUGUACCUUACGAAUAAGGACCGGCUAACUCCGUGCCAGCAGCCGCGGUAAUACGGAGGGUCCAAGCGUUAUCCGGAUUUAUUGGGUUUAAAGGGUGCGUAGGCGGCCUAUUAAGUCAGUGGUGAAAUCCCGUUGCUCAACAACGGAAUUGCCAUCGAAACUGGUAGGCUUGAGUGUAAAUAAGGUAGGCGGAAUGUGAUGUGUAGCGGUGAAAUGCUUAGAUAUGUCACAGAACACCAAUUGCGAAGGCAGCUUACUGGGAUACAACUGACGCUGAGGCACGAAAGCGUGGGGAUCAAACA